This is an RNA transcript of Cornus florida, 1506 nucleotides long. RefSeq lists it as uncharacterized. The transcript is spliced from 5 exons. Lineage: Eukaryota; Viridiplantae; Streptophyta; Magnoliopsida; Cornales; Cornaceae. The record is from RefSeq and is a predicted model, not a curated record.
UGGAACCAAUCUUUGAAGUUGACUUUAGAUUCAGAUGCUGCAGCGAAACCCGACUUGAGUUGAUCGGAGGGGCGAGUGAAAAUACAUACAUAAGCUCUGAAUCCCUCACCGGAACCAAAUCUUUGAUAAUAUUAUCUGACGAGAGAGAGAGAAAUGGCAGGAUUGCUAGCAUGGGCAGCAGAUGUAGUCACAUCAACGACAAAGACGAAGCCAAUUCAAUCCCUAUAUUUUUCACUCCCGAUCAGCAUAUUUACGUCAGGGGCUUGGAUCAGAAAGCAGCUUCUCUCAGCCAUUCGAUCCAAGAUCUAUGGAUCUUUAGAGAGUUUUACGCGCCUCCCUCACCUCCACGCCCACUCCCUAGCCUCAAACGCCGCUCUCGCCCUCCAAUUGAACUCUCACUCCGCCACCAGAGAACAGGAAAUGGACUUGACUGAGAAAGAUAUAAAAGCUGAGUUGGAAAAUCCAAGAUGACAGUUGAAUCUCAAGAAGAUACAGAAGCUUCAAAAUCUGCUAUACUGGACAAGUUAGAGAACAAGAAAAAAGAACUGUUUUCGGCGGAGGAGAUUGUUCAAGACUUGGAGAAAAAGUGGGCACAGGUUCAGGAGAAUGCACUAAAGCAGCCUUCUCCAGGUGUCUUACAUCAUCUAUUUGUGGGUGGUCGAACUGAGAGCCAGCAGAGGCUCAUGCUGCUCAGGUGUUACACUAUGCUUGCCAAAAUCUGAAAGCACUCAGGGGCGCCACUCUGAAGCUGAGUCCUACAGAAAUAUAAAUAUUAGCCAGACAAAGCAGCAGCAGAAGCAGAAAAGUCCUACAAUGGCGAAGCCAGUUCUUCUCAUGUUGCUUGCAACGAUGUUUUCUGUGAUUGUCAACAUAUUCAACAAACUCGCGACUACCAAUGGUAUGUCAACGUCCGUUCUCACCGCAUACCAAUUCAUCUUUGGAACCAAGUUGCUAGCUCCUUUGGCCAUUUACAAAUCAUGUAUUGCAGGGGAACCAGGUACAAUCUGACAUGGGAGCGUAUGGAAAUCAAACAAAGAAAGAAAGCAAUUAAAAUUGGAGCAGUGUACAAUGAUUUGUAAAUGGCCGAAGGAGCUAGCAAACAUGGUUCCAAAGAUGAAUCGGUAUGCGAUGAGAACGGAGGUUGACAUAUCAUUGGUAGUCGCGAGUUUGUUAAAUAUGUUGACAAUCACACAAAACAUAGUUGCAAGCAACAUGAGAAGAACUGGCUUCGCCAUUGUAGGACUUUUCUGCUUCUACCGCUGCUUUGUCUGGCUAAUAUUUAUAUUUCUGUAGGACCCAGCUUCAGAGUGGCGCCCCUGAGUGCUUUCAGAUUUUGAAAAGCAUAAUGUAACCUAGGGUCAAAUAUUUCAGAUAUAAAGACUUAUCUCUCGUACGGAAUUUCAAGGCUUUCUCUUCCCCUUCCGGGCUGGUUGCCUUACCAUCCGAAACUCAAAGAUUCAAUAAGAUUACUGAAGUUUUUAACAAAUUUUGAAGAUUUUAAAGUUA